This 629-nucleotide non-coding RNA is filed under the name Streptomyces roseus. RNAcentral's name for it is "Bacterial large subunit ribosomal RNA". It matches the Rfam family "Bacterial large subunit ribosomal RNA", at positions 591 to 1218 of the family's 2925-position model. Lineage: Bacteria; Bacillati; Actinomycetota; Actinomycetes; Kitasatosporales; Streptomycetaceae. The record is from Rfam by way of RNAcentral.
UCGUGACUGCGUGCCUUUUGAAGAAUGAGCCUGCGAGUUAGCGGUGUGUAGCGAGGUUAACCCGUGUGGGGAAGCCGUAGCGAAAGCGAGUCCGAAUAGGGCGUUUGAGUUGCACGCUCUAGACCCGAAGCGGAGUGAUCUAGCCAUGGGCAGGUUGAAGCGGAGGUAAGACUUCGUGGAGGACCGAACCCACCAGGGUUGAAAACCUGGGGGAUGACCUGUGGUUAGGGGUGAAAGGCCAAUCAAACUCCGUGAUAGCUGGUUCUCCCCGAAAUGCAUUUAGGUGCAGCGUCGUGUGUUUCUUGCCGGAGGUAGAGCACUGGAUAGGCGAUGGGCCCUACCGGGUUACUGACCUUAGCCAAACUCCGAAUGCCGGUAAGUGAGAGCACGGCAGUGAGACUGUGGGGGAUAAGCUCCAUGGUCGAGAGGGAAACAGCCCAGAGCAUCGACUAAGGCCCCUAAGCGUACGCUAAGUGGGAAAGGAUGUGGAGUCGCAGAGACAACCAGGAGGUUGGCUUAGAAGCAGCCACCCUUGAAAGAGUGCGUAAUAGCUCACUGGUCAAGUGAUUCCGCGCCGACAAUGUAGCGGGGCUCAAGCGUACCGCCGAAGUCGUGUCAUUGCAGCAAUA